RNAcentral lists this ribosomal RNA (514 nucleotides) under Paenibacillus jamilae. Its description in RNAcentral is "bacterial LSU rRNA". It matches the Rfam family "Bacterial large subunit ribosomal RNA", at positions 75 to 582 of the family's 2925-position model. The record is from RNAcentral. Lineage: Bacteria; Bacillati; Bacillota; Bacilli; Caryophanales; Paenibacillaceae.
GCCUCGGGGAGCUGUAAGCAAGCUUUGAUCCGGGGAUGUCCGAAUGGGGAAACCCGGCUGUCUUCAUCGACAGUCACUACUCACUGAAUUCAUAGGUGAGUGAGAGGCAGACCAGGGGAACUGAAACAUCUAAGUACCCUGAGGAAGAGAAAACAAUAGUGAUUCCGUCAGUAGCGGCGAGCGAACGCGGAUUAGCCCAAACCAAGGAGCUUGCUCCUUGGGGUUGUGGGACGUCUCACAUGGAGUUACAAAGGAACCGGUUAGAUGAAGAGGUCUGGAAAGGCCCGCCAGAGAAGGUAAAAGCCCUGUAGUUCAAAACUUGUUCCCUCCGAGACGGAUCCCGAGUAGUGCGGGGCACGUGAAACCCCGUAUGAAUCCGGCAGGACCAUCUGCCAAGGCUAAAUACUCCCUGGCGACCGAUAGUGAAGCAGUACCGUGAGGGAAAGGUGAAAAGCACCCCGGAAGGGGAGUGAAAUAGAUCCUGAAACCGUGUGCUUACAAGAAGUCAGAGCCC